GGGCCGUGGCGGAACUGGUAGACGCAUCGGACUUAAAAUCCGGUGGCAGCGAUGUCGUACGGGUUCGAUUCCCGUCGGCCCC
This 82-nucleotide transfer RNA is filed under the name uncultured Bulleidia sp. It matches the Rfam family "tRNA". From Rfam's summary of the family: Transfer RNA (tRNA) molecules are approximately 80 nucleotides in length. The record is from RNAcentral. Lineage: Bacteria; Bacillati; Bacillota; Erysipelotrichia; Erysipelotrichales; Erysipelotrichaceae.